Molecule: ribosomal RNA, 1423 nt
Filed under: Cutibacterium acnes
Lineage: Bacteria; Bacillati; Actinomycetota; Actinomycetes; Propionibacteriales; Propionibacteriaceae
Description: partial 16S ribosomal RNA
Rfam family: Bacterial small subunit ribosomal RNA
Source: RNAcentral
CAAGUCGAACGGAAAGGCCCUGCUUUUGUGGGGUGCUCGAGUGGCGAACGGGUGAGUAACACGUGAGUAACCUGCCCUUGACUUUGGGAUAACUUCAGGAAACUGGGGCUAAUACCGGAUAGGAGCUCCUGCUGCAUGGUGGGGGUUGGAAAGUUUCGGCGGUUGGGGAUGGACUCGCGGCUUAUCAGCUUGUUGGUGGGGUAGUGGCUUACCAAGGCUUUGACGGGUAGCCGGCCUGAGAGGGUGACCGGCCACAUUGGGACUGAGAUACGGCCCAGACUCCUACGGGAGGCAGCAGUGGGGAAUAUUGCACAAUGGGCGGAAGCCUGAUGCAGCAACGCCGCGUGCGGGAUGACGGCCUUCGGGUUGUAAACCGCUUUCGCCUGUGACGAAGCGUGAGUGACGGUAAUGGGUAAAGAAGCACCGGCUAACUACGUGCCAGCAGCCGCGGUGAUACGUAGGGUGCGAGCGUUGUCCGGAUUUAUUGGGCGUAAAGGGCUCGUAGGUGGUUGAUCGCGUCGGAAGUGUAAUCUUGGGGCUUAACCCUGAGCGUGCUUUCGAUACGGGUUGACUUGAGGAAGGUAGGGGAGAAUGGAAUUCCUGGUGGAGCGGUGGAAUGCGCAGAUAUCAGGAGGAACACCAGUGGCGAAGGCGGUUCUCUGGGCCUUUCCUGACGCUGAGGAGCGAAAGCGUGGGGAGCGAACAGGCUUAGAUACCCUGGUAGUCCACGCUGUAAACGGUGGGUACUAGGUGUGGGGUCCAUUCCACGGGUUCCGUGCCGUAGCUAACGCUUUAAGUACCCCGCCUGGGGAGUACGGCCGCAAGGCUAAAACUCAAAGGAAUUGACGGGGCCCCGCACAAGCGGCGGAGCAUGCGGAUUAAUUCGAUGCAACGCGUAGAACCUUACCUGGGUUUGACAUGGAUCGGGAGUGCUCAGAGAUGGGUGUGCCUCUUUUGGGGUCGGUUCACAGGUGGUGCAUGGCUGUCGUCAGCUCGUGUCGUGAGAUGUUGGGUUAAGUCCCGCAACGAGCGCAACCCUUGUUCACUGUUGCCAGCACGUUAUGGUGGGGACUCAGUGGAGACCGCCGGGGUCAACUCGGAGGAAGGUGGGGAUGACGUCAAGUCAUCAUGCCCCUUAUGUCCAGGGCUUCACGCAUGCUACAAUGGCUGGUACAGAGAGUGGCGAGCCUGUGAGGGUGAGCGAAUCUCGGAAAGCCGGUCUCAGUUCGGAUUGGGGUCUGCAACUCGACCUCAUGAAGUCGGAGUCGCUAGUAAUCGCAGAUCAGCAACGCUGCGGUGAAUACGUUCCCGGGGCUUGUACACACCGCCCGUCAAGUCAUGAAAGUUGGUAACACCCGAAGCCGGUGGCCUAACCGUUGUGGGGGAGCCGUCGAAGGUGGGACUGGUGAUUAGGACUAAGUCG